GUGCUUACUAUGGCAGCACAUAUACUAAAAUUGGAAUGACACAGAGAAAAAUACAAGGAUGACAUGCAAAUUCGUGAACUCUUCCAUAUUAAA
This is a small nuclear RNA of Nomascus leucogenys (northern white-cheeked gibbon), 93 nucleotides long. Lineage: Eukaryota; Metazoa; Chordata; Mammalia; Primates; Hylobatidae. The record is from Ensembl.